ACUCCAACAAGUGAAGCUUGCU
This 22-nucleotide microRNA is filed under the name Scyliorhinus torazame (cloudy catshark). RNAcentral describes it as "Sto-Mir-430-P2_5p* (star (passenger))". Lineage: Eukaryota; Metazoa; Chordata; Chondrichthyes; Carcharhiniformes; Scyliorhinidae. The record is from RNAcentral.